UCGAAACCUUAUGGUUCCUUUGAUCUUGAGAAACCAACAUGCUUGAAACUUCAUGACUUUGCUUCAUGAAGAGUUGGGAGUAUCAGCCCACCAUUUUAAUCCGUUUGGAGGUGUCUACGUACAACAUGAGCCGUUUGCGGAUGGCGUCUGUGAUUGUUGUGCAAAGUUCGCGCAAUGUGAGUUGUGCUGAGCUAUAGACUUGAUGAGCACUGCAUGAGUGCCGCCUCUAUGUUUGUACUGGUGGUUAAGCAUUAGGCUGUCGCCAGCCUAUUGCAACACCUGCUGGUCAGGAAAUCUUAAUGACUCGCUUCGUCGAGCGCCAGUACAGAUGAACAUUUUACAUUUAACGUUUGAAGAAUCGUGGCUUUAUGUCACAAUCGACUAGCUUCAGCGAUGGAUCGGUCGAUUCGCGUAUCGAUGAAAAACGCAGCUAGCUGCGUUAUUUACCACGAAUUGCAGACGCUUAGAGUGGUGAAAUUUUGAACGCAUAGCGCCGUUGGGUUUUCCCUUCGGCACGUCUGGUUCAGGGUUGUUUUCAAUAUACUACAGUGUGGCCUGUUAAGCACUGUUUGUCGAAUGACGCUUGUGCACAUGUGCACAAUCCUCGUUCUAGAUGAGAACUAUAUUGCAACAUGUACAUUGUGGAUGUGAAAGUCUACACCCUGUACACGAAUGUCAUGACCGUGUUGUCUCUGUCAAAAGUAUUUAGCGAGUAAUGAAAUACUUUGGCGGGGCUUGUAUGACAACGUCGAGUCCAUGUCAUUUGCAA
Molecule: unclassified non-coding RNA, 769 nt
Filed under: Rugopharynx theta
Lineage: Eukaryota; Metazoa; Nematoda; Chromadorea; Rhabditida; Strongylidae
Description: sequence contains ITS1, 5.8S rRNA gene, ITS2
Rfam family: 5.8S ribosomal RNA (bases 383-532)
Source: RNAcentral